GACGAACGCUGGCGGCGUGCUUAACACAUGCAAGUCGAACGGAAGGGCCCUGCUUUUGUGGGGUGCUCGAGUGGCGAACGGGUGAGUAACACGUGAGUAACCUGCCCUUGACUUUGGGAUAACUUCAGGAAACUGGGGCUAAUACCGGAUAGGAGCUCCUGCUGCAUGGUGGGGGUUGGAAAGUUUCGGCGGUUGGGGAUGGACUCGCGGCUUAUCAGCUUGUUGGUGGGGUAGUGGCUUACCAAGGCUUUGACGGGUAGCCGGCCUGAGAGGGUGACCGGCCACAUUGGGACUGAGAUACGGCCCAGACUCCUACGGGAGGCAGCAGUGGGGAAUAUUGCACAAUGGGCGGAAGCCUGAUGCAGCAACGCCGCGUGCGGGAUGACGGCCUUCUGGUUGUAAACCGCUUUCGCCUGUGACGAAGCGUGAGUGACGGUAAUGGGUAAAGAAGCACCGGCUAACUACGUG
RNAcentral lists this ribosomal RNA (468 nucleotides) under uncultured bacterium. Its description in RNAcentral is "partial 16S ribosomal RNA". It matches the Rfam family "Bacterial small subunit ribosomal RNA", at positions 28 to 507 of the family's 1533-position model. The record is from RNAcentral.